GGCCUUGGAAGUCCUUCACAUUUGAAAGGUGUUUCUUUCCUGCCAGAUGGCUUUGGAAAACAACUACUGAUUCACACGUCACAUUACAGAGUUCACAUAUUAAAGGAACCAUUUUUUUGGGCUUAGGAGGCACAGCAGGUUUUCUUGAACCAUUGUGCAAUUUCAUCAGUUUACCCCCUCGCCCGCCUCUUAGCAUGCGCUUGAGUCCACGCCCUUGACCUUGAUCACGAUCCAUCAGCAGGUUUUCUUGAGCCAUUGUGCAAUUUCAUCAGUUUACCCCCUCGCCCGCCUCUUAGCAUGCGCUUGAGUCCACGCCCUUGACCUUGAUCACGAUCCAUCCCCAAAUCUCUUGCUAAUUCUUCCACCGAAGCUGCCUCUUCAACCUUUUGCUUCCCUGUUAUACUACCAUCUUCUAAAACAGCAUGAGACGGAAAAUUCUCUUGGGGCUGCGACUGUCUGUUUCCAGUUACUACCUCAAAAGGCAAAUGACCCUGUGGCAGCUGCCCAGCCCCCCCAACUUCAGGCUGGUAAUAAACAUUUGGCUUAAAGUUGAAAUUUGCUGUCUGGUGACCUUGCCCUCCAUCCAUCGGUUUGUUCAGUUUCUUU
RNAcentral lists this long non-coding RNA (606 nucleotides) under Nicotiana benthamiana. RNAcentral describes it as "long non-coding RNA (NBEN_LNC042360)". The record is from RNAcentral. Lineage: Eukaryota; Viridiplantae; Streptophyta; Magnoliopsida; Solanales; Solanaceae.